GACGAACGCUGGCGGCGUGCUUAACACAUGCAAGUCGAACGAUGAAGAAAAGAAUCGAAGCUUCGGCAGAAAUUCAUUUCGGAUUAGUGGCAGGCGGGUGAGUAACGCGUGAGCAACCUACCUCUUACAAAGGGAUAGCCUCGGGAAACCGGGAUUAAUACCAUAUAACAUUGUGACGAAGCAUUUCGAUGCAAUCAAAGCUACGGCGGUAAGAGAUGGGCUCGCGUCCCAUUAACCGGAUGGUGAGGUAACGGCUCACCAUAGUGACGAUGGGUAACCGGCCUGAGAGGGUGAACGGUCACACUGGAACUGAGACACGGUCCAGACUCCUACGGGAGGCAGCAGUGGGGAAUAUUGCACAAUGGAGGGAACUCUGAUGCAGCGACGCCGCGUGAGUGAUGAAGGAAUUCGUUUCGUAAAACUCUGUUCUAUGGGAAGAAAAGGACUGUACCAUAGGAGAAAGCUCCGGCUAAAUACGUG
This 480-nucleotide ribosomal RNA is filed under the name uncultured bacterium. RNAcentral describes it as "partial 16S ribosomal RNA". It matches the Rfam family "Bacterial small subunit ribosomal RNA", at positions 28 to 507 of the family's 1533-position model. The record is from RNAcentral.